RNAcentral lists this ribosomal RNA (2280 nucleotides) under synthetic metagenome. RNAcentral's name for it is "bacterial LSU rRNA". It matches the Rfam family "Bacterial large subunit ribosomal RNA", at positions 14 to 2319 of the family's 2925-position model. The record is from RNAcentral.
AGCGUACACGGUGGAUGCCCUGGCAGUCAGAGGCGAUGAAGGACGUGCUAAUCUGCGAUAAGCGUCGGUAAGGUGAUAUGAACCGUUAUAACCGGCGAUUUCCGAAUGGGGAAACCCAGUGUGUUUCGACACACUAUCAUUAACUGAAUCCAUAGGUUAAUGAGGCGAACCGGGGGAACUGAAACAUCUAAGUACCCCGAGGAAAAGAAAUCAACCGAGAUUCCCCCAGUAGCGGCGAGCGAACGGGGAGCAGCCCAGAGCCUGAAUCAGUGUGUGUGUUAGUGGAAGCGUCUGGAAAGGCGCGCGAUACAGGGUGACAGCCCCGUACACAAAAAUGCACAUGCUGUGAGCUCGAUGAGUAGGGCGGGACACGUGGUAUCCUGUCUGAAUAUGGGGGGACCAUCCUCCAAGGCUAAAUACUCCUGACUGACCGAUAGUGAACCAGUACCGUGAGGGAAAGGCGAAAAGAACCCCGGCGAGGGGAGUGAAAAAGAACCUGAAACCGUGUACGUACAAGCAGUGGGAGCACGCUUAGGCGUGUGACUGCGUACCUUUUGUAUAAUGGGUCAGCGACUUAUAUUCUGUAGCAAGGUUAACCGAAUAGGGGAGCCGAAGGGAAACCGAGUCUUAACUGGGCGUUAAGUUGCAGGGUAUAGACCCGAAACCCGGUGAUCUAGCCAUGGGCAGGUUGAAGGUUGGGUAACACUAACUGGAGGACCGAACCGACUAAUGUUGAAAAAUUAGCGGAUGACUUGUGGCUGGGGGUGAAAGGCCAAUCAAACCGGGAGAUAGCUGGUUCUCCCCGAAAGCUAUUUAGGUAGCGCCUCGUGAAUUCAUCUCCGGGGGUAGAGCACUGUUUCGGCAAGGGGGUCAUCCCGACUUACCAACCCGAUGCAAACUGCGAAUACCGGAGAAUGUUAUCACGGGAGACACACGGCGGGUGCUAACGUCCGUCGUGAAGAGGGAAACAACCCAGACCGCCAGCUAAGGUCCCAAAGUCAUGGUUAAGUGGGAAACGAUGUGGGAAGGCCCAGACAGCCAGGAUGUUGGCUUAGAAGCAGCCAUCAUUUAAAGAAAGCGUAAUAGCUCACUGGUCGAGUCGGCCUGCGCGGAAGAUGUAACGGGGCUAAACCAUGCACCGAAGCUGCGGCAGCGACGCUUAUGCGUUGUUGGGUAGGGGAGCGUUCUGUAAGCCUGCGAAGGUGUGCUGUGAGGCAUGCUGGAGGUAUCAGAAGUGCGAAUGCUGACAUAAGUAACGAUAAAGCGGGUGAAAAGCCCGCUCGCCGGAAGACCAAGGGUUCCUGUCCAACGUUAAUCGGGGCAGGGUGAGUCGACCCCUAAGGCGAGGCCGAAAGGCGUAGUCGAUGGGAAACAGGUUAAUAUUCCUGUACUUGGUGUUACUGCGAAGGGGGGACGGAGAAGGCUAUGUUGGCCGGGCGACGGUUGUCCCGGUUUAAGCGUGUAGGCUGGUUUUCCAGGCAAAUCCGGAAAAUCAAGGCUGAGGCGUGAUGACGAGGCACUACGGUGCUGAAGCAACAAAUGCCCUGCUUCCAGGAAAAGCCUCUAAGCAUCAGGUAACAUCAAAUCGUACCCCAAACCGACACAGGUGGUCAGGUAGAGAAUACCAAGGCGCUUGAGAGAACUCGGGUGAAGGAACUAGGCAAAAUGGUGCCGUAACUUCGGGAGAAGGCACGCUGAUAUGUAGGUGAAGCGACUUGCUCGUGGAGCUGAAAUCAGUCGAAGAUACCAGCUGGCUGCAACUGUUUAUUAAAAACACAGCACUGUGCAAACACGAAAGUGGACGUAUACGGUGUGACGCCUGCCCGGUGCCGGAAGGUUAAUUGAUGGGGUUAGCGCAAGCGAAGCUCUUGAUCGAAGCCCCGGUAAACGGCGGCCGUAACUAUAACGGUCCUAAGGUAGCGAAAUUCCUUGUCGGGUAAGUUCCGACCUGCACGAAUGGCGUAAUGAUGGCCAGGCUGUCUCCACCCGAGACUCAGUGAAAUUGAACUCGCUGUGAAGAUGCAGUGUACCCGCGGCAAGACGGAAAGACCCCGUGAACCUUUACUAUAGCUUGACACUGAACAUUGAGCCUUGAUGUGUAGGAUAGGUGGGAGGCUUUGAAGUGUGGACGCCAGUCUGCAUGGAGCCGACCUUGAAAUACCACCCUUUAAUGUUUGAUGUUCUAACGUUGACCCGUAAUCCGGGUUGCGGACAGUGUCUGGUGGGUAGUUUGACUGGGGCGGUCUCCUCCUAAAGAGUAACGGAGGAGUACGAAGGUGC